This 697-nucleotide ribosomal RNA is filed under the name uncultured Methanosaeta sp. RNAcentral's name for it is "bacterial SSU rRNA". It matches the Rfam family "Archaeal small subunit ribosomal RNA", at positions 1 to 705 of the family's 1478-position model. The record is from RNAcentral. Lineage: Archaea; Methanobacteriati; Methanobacteriota; Methanomicrobia; Methanotrichales; Methanotrichaceae.
UCUGGUUGAUCCUGCCGGAGGUUACUGCUAUCGAGGUUCGACUAAGCCAUGCGAGUCGAAUGUAGCAAUACAUGGCGUACUGCUCAGUAACACGUGGACAACCUACCCUUAGGUCGGGGAUAAACCCGGGAAACUGGGUAUAAUACCCGAUAGUCCUCGGAUGCUGGAAUGCACCGAGGUCUAAAGCUCCGGCGCCUAAGGAUGGGUCUGCGGCCUAUCAGGUAGUAGUGGGUGUAGCGUACCUACUAGCCUACGACGGGUACGGGUUGUGAGAGCAAGAGCCCGGAGAUGGAUUCUGAGACACGAAUCCAGGCCCUACGGGGUGCAGCAGGCGCGAAAACUUUACAAUGCUGGAAACCGCGAUAAGGGGACCUCGAGUGCCAGGUUACAAAUCUGGCUGUCGUGAUGCCUAAAAAGCAUUGCAUAGCAAGGGCCGGGCAAGACCGGUGCCAGCCGCCGCGGUAACACCGGCGGCUCGAGUGGUAACCGCUAUUAUUGGGUCUAAAGGGUCUGUAGCCGGCCGGAUAAGUCUUUUGGGAAAUCUGGCAGCUUAACUGUCAGGCUUUCAGAGGAUACUGUCUGGCUCGAGGCCGGGAGAGGUGAGAGGUACUUCAGGGGUAGGGGUGAAAUCUUGUAAUCCUUGAAGGACCACCAGUGGCGAAGGCGUCUCACCAGAACGGACCUGACGGCAAGGGAC